UCCAGACUCCUACGGGAGGCAGCAGUGGGGAAUAUUGCACAAUGGGGGGAACCCUGAUGCAGCGACGCCGCGUGGGUGAAGGAGUACUUCGGUACGUAAAGCCCUAUCAGCAGGGAAGAAAAUGACGGUACCUGACUAAGAAGCCCCGGCUAACUACGUGCCAGCAGCCGCGGUAAUACGUAGGGGGCAAGCGUUAUCCGGAGUUACUGGGUGUAAAGGGAGCGUAGACGGCAUGGCAAGUCUGAUGUGAAAACCCGGGGCUCAACCCCGGGACUGCAUUGGAAACUGUCAAACUAGAGUACGGGAGAGGUAAGAGGAAUUCCUAGUGUAGCGGUGAAAUGCGUAGAUAUUAGGAGGAACACCAGUGGCGAAGGCGUCUUACUGGACCGAAACUGACGUUGAGGCUCGAAAGCGUGGGGAGCAAACAGGAUUAGAUACCCGUGUAAA
This 447-nucleotide ribosomal RNA is filed under the name uncultured bacterium. RNAcentral's name for it is "partial 16S ribosomal RNA". It matches the Rfam family "Bacterial small subunit ribosomal RNA", at positions 330 to 793 of the family's 1533-position model. The record is from RNAcentral.